GAGUGUGUGAGUGAGUGUGAGCAAGUGUGUGUGAAUCAGUAGGUGGCGGUAAUGCACCUAUUUCGCUGGUUUGCCAAACCGCCAUAAAACACCAGAAGAAGAAGAAGAAGACGAAGAAGAAGACGAAGAAGAGUCAAACACGUGUGGAUGGUUUGAGCAGCGGCUCGUGUCGUGUGAACGCAGUAGGAGCUCUACACACAGUCCUGAGACUUGUGUGCUUUAGAAUAGAUUCAUUUUGUUCGCGUUGACUUUCAGAUCUGUGCGGUUUCCUCCUCAGUCCGUCUGUAAGCGCAGCAUUACUUCACAGUCCCCGCAGCUGUCGUCUACGGUUUAUUCACAGCUCAGGCCGAUGGAGCAGACCGAGGCUCUGACCGGAGACAAGCGCUGCUUCCCCGAAGAGCAUCCGGGUCACGCCGCCAAGAGACUCCGAGUGGAGGAGGAGGAGGAG
This is a long non-coding RNA of Sinocyclocheilus grahami, 448 nucleotides long. RefSeq lists it as uncharacterized. The transcript has 3 exons. The record is from RefSeq and is a predicted model, not a curated record. NCBI's taxonomy places the organism in Eukaryota, Metazoa, Chordata, Actinopteri, Cypriniformes, Cyprinidae.